GUUACAUUUAUUAUUUACUCGCUUGUUACUAUUGCUAUUUCAUUUAAACAUUUACAACCUUUAGAAUUGAUAAACACUAGAUUUAAUUGUUCCCUACCUCCUUGUGGAUUCGAUCCCUAAGUACUACAUCUGAACCUCUUUUGAUGAGAGUAACACUCCUUAGGGUAAUUUUAGUGGUAUCAGUAUUUCAUAGUCAGAGGUGAUGUUCUUGGAUUAAUGAAAGACGAACAACUGCAAAAGCAUUUGCCAAGGUUGUUUUCAUUAAUCAAGAAUGAAAGUUGGGGGCUCGAAGACGAUCAGAUAUCGUCCUAGUCUCAACCAUAAACGAUGCCGACCAGGGAUAAGCGGAUGUUGCUUUUAGGACUCCGCUGGCACCUUAGAAGAAAUCAAUGUUUUUGGGUUCCGGAGGGAGUAUGGUCGCAAGGCUGAAACUUAAAGGAAUUGACGGAAGGGCACCACCAGGAGUGGAUCCUGCGGCUUAAUUUGACUCAACACGGGGAAACUUAACAGGUCCAGACAUAGUAAGGAUUGACAAACUGAGAGCUCUUUCUUGAUUCUACGGGUGGUGGUGCAUGGUCGUUCUUAGUUGGUGGAGCGAUUUGUCUGGUUAAUUCCGUUAACGAACGAGACCUCAGCCUGAUAACUAGCUACGUGGAGGCAUCCCUUUACGGCCGGCUUCUUAGAGGGACUAUGGCCGUUUAGGCCAACAAAAGUUUUAGGCAAUAACAGGUCUGUGAUGCCCUUAGAUGUUCUGGGCUGCACGCGCGCUACACUGAUGUAUUCAACGAUUUUACACCUUGGCCGACAGGCCUGGGUAAUCUUUGAAAUUUCACCGUGAUGGGGAUAGAUCAUUGCAAUUUUUGGUCUUCAACGAGGAAUUCCUAGUAAGCGCGAGUCAUCAGCUCGCGUUGACUACUUCCCUGCCCUUUGUACACACCGCCCGUCGCUCCUACCGAUUGAAUGAUCCGGUGAUCCGUCUGCGACGUCGCGAGAAGUCCACUAAACCUUAUCAUUUAGAGGAAGGAGAAGUCGUAACAAGGUUUUCGUAGGUGAACCUGCAGAAG
RNAcentral lists this ribosomal RNA (1064 nucleotides) under Brassica juncea var. tumida. Its description in RNAcentral is "SSU rRNA". It matches the Rfam family "Eukaryotic small subunit ribosomal RNA", at positions 698 to 1823 of the family's 1831-position model. The record is from RNAcentral. Lineage: Eukaryota; Viridiplantae; Streptophyta; Magnoliopsida; Brassicales; Brassicaceae.